This 253-nucleotide ribosomal RNA is filed under the name uncultured bacterium. RNAcentral describes it as "partial 16S ribosomal RNA". It matches the Rfam family "Bacterial small subunit ribosomal RNA", at positions 524 to 776 of the family's 1533-position model. The record is from RNAcentral.
UACGUAGGGUGCAAGCGUUAAUCGGAAUUACUGGGCGUAAAGCGUGCGCAGGCGGUGAUGUAAGACAGGUGUGAAAUCCCCGGGCUCAACCUGGGAACUGCAUUUGUGACUGUAGAGCUGGAGUACGGUAGAGGGGGAUGGAAUUCCGCGUGUAGCAGUGAAAUGCGUAGAUAUGCGGAGGAACACCGAUGGCGAAGGCAAUCCCCUGGACCUGUACUGACGCUCAUGCACGAAAGCGUGGGGAGCAAACAGG